CCCUUAGAUGUUCUGGGCCGCACGCGCGCUACACUGAUGCAUUCAACGAGCCUAUCCUUGACCGACAGGUCCGGGUAAUCUUUGAAUCUGCAUCGUGACGGGGAUAGAUUAUUGCAAUUAUUAAUCUUCAACGAGGAAUGCCUAGUAGGCGCAAGUCAUCAGCUUGCGUCGAUUACAUCCCUGCCCUUUGUACACACCGCCCGUCACUCCUACCGAUUGGGUGUGCUGGUGAAAUGUUCGGAUCGGCCGUUUGUCGCGGUUUCCGCGUCAUGUGGCUGAGAAGUUCAUUAAACCCUCCCACCUAGAGGAAGGAGAAGUCGUAACA
Molecule: ribosomal RNA, 325 nt
Filed under: uncultured eukaryote
Lineage: Eukaryota
Description: partial 18S ribosomal RNA
Rfam family: Eukaryotic small subunit ribosomal RNA
Source: RNAcentral